GAUGAACGCUGGCGGCGUGCCUAAUACAUGCAAGUCGAGCGAACGGACGAGAAGCUUGCUUCUCUGAUGUUAGCGGCGGACGGGUGAGUAACACGUGGAUAACCUACCUAUAAGACUGGGAUAACUUCGGGAAACCGGAGCUAAUACCGGAUGAUAUUUUGAACCGCAUGGUUCAAAAGUGAAAGACGGUCUUGCUGUCACUUAUAGAUGGAUCCGCGCUGCAUUAGCUAGUUGGUAAGGUAACGGCUUACCAAGGCAACGAUGCAUAGCCGACCUGAGAGGGUGAUCGGCCACACUGGAACUGAGGCACGGUCCAGACUCCUACGGGAGGCAGCAGUAGGGAAUCUUCCGCGAUGGGCGAAAGCCUGACGGAGCAACGCCGCGUGAGUGAUGAAGGUCUUCGGAUCGUAAAACUCUGUUAUUAGGGAAGAACAUAUGUGUAAGUAACUGUGCACAUCUUGACGGUACCUAAUCAGAAAGCCACGGCUAACUACGUG
Molecule: ribosomal RNA, 497 nt
Filed under: uncultured bacterium
Lineage: Bacteria
Description: partial 16S ribosomal RNA
Rfam family: Bacterial small subunit ribosomal RNA
Source: RNAcentral